GGCGAUGAAGGUCCAAACCAAGCCAUGAGAAACCUCACCAGUUCAGUCUUCCAGGCCAAUGCACCUCCUCUUCCCUCUUACUGUGGCAUCUUCCCUGGCUGCUAAUUUCCCCAAACAGGAUAAACCCAAAGAAAUCGAUUGCCAUGAAACUUCUAAAAACUAAAGGCAAAGGAAAAAUCUGGAAACUAGGUCAAGUGCAGUGCGGCUGAUUUAGAGUUAAAGGUCUUCCUGUGAAACCAUGACCACAAUCAAAAUGAUCAACAUCUCCAUCACCUCCAAAAGUUUCCCUGGGAUCCUUUGUAAUUCAACUCUCCCUCCACCCUUGACCCCAAGCAAUCUGUGACCUGCUUUCUGUUACCAUACAGUAGUUUGCGUGUUCCAGAAUUUGAUAUAAAUGGAAUCAAAUAAUAUAUCCUCAAUGUCUGGUUUCAUUCAUUCAGCAUAAUUAUUCUGAGAUUUAUCCAUGCUGUGUGUAUCAAUAGAUUAUUCAUUUUUGUUGCUGAAUAGAAUCCCAUUGUACGAAUACACCAUGAUUUGUCUAUACAUUCACCAGUUGAGGGAC
This is a long non-coding RNA of Choloepus didactylus (southern two-toed sloth), 562 nucleotides long. RefSeq lists it as uncharacterized. The transcript has 3 exons. The record is from RefSeq and is a predicted model, not a curated record. NCBI's taxonomy places the organism in Eukaryota, Metazoa, Chordata, Mammalia, Pilosa, Megalonychidae.